UUUUCAUGGCGUCAAUCCGUCAUCUUGCUAGAACAAUUCAGUCCUACCGUACAAUCGCAUUUUGCAAAACCCUAACCCCUUCGAUUCCGCCUCUGCGCCGCCGCACUUACUGCUGCGAUCAGUAACGUGAUAUCUCCUGGAUUCACACCUAGUAGGUUCUGAAAUUGACUCGAUCCAUGAUGGGUUCAGAGAGUUCUGUGUAUUUUAUGUCGGAUCUAGACAAUGAUUUUGGUGGGGAUGGUGGUGCAGUGGUGGGAACGAUGGUGGUGAUAGUGGUGGGGAUGGUGGUGCGGUGGUGAGGAUGAUGGUGGUUAUGAUGGUGGUGCGGUGGGGAUAGUUGUGCGGUGGUGGGCUUGUGGUAGAGGGUGGUAGUGACAGGAUGUGUAGAGAGUGAGGAAGAAACAGAGAGAAAAUGCAGUGUGUGAAUUAUGUGAAAUAGU
Molecule: long non-coding RNA, 440 nt
Filed under: Helianthus annuus (common sunflower)
Lineage: Eukaryota; Viridiplantae; Streptophyta; Magnoliopsida; Asterales; Asteraceae
Description: sRNA HanXRQr2_Chr15g0674461
Source: RNAcentral